Molecule: ribosomal RNA, 740 nt
Filed under: Zoanthus sociatus
Lineage: Eukaryota; Metazoa; Cnidaria; Anthozoa; Zoantharia; Zoanthidae
Description: partial 16S ribosomal RNA
Rfam family: Bacterial large subunit ribosomal RNA
Source: RNAcentral
CCUCGGCUAAUAUGAAAAUAGAUGUAUAGAGGGUGAUGCCUGCCCAAUGGUUGUAUCUAAAAGCGGUUGAUAAAAGUCGACCUCGUAAGGACAAUUGAAUGGCCGCGGUAACACUGACCGUGAUAAUGUAGCGUAAUCAAUAGCCAAUUAAUUGUUGGCCAGUAUGAAUGGCGCCACGAAGGCCCCACUGUCUUAAGGAAAUUCCCAGUGAAAUUGAAUUCGUAGUGAAGAUGCUACGUCCAAUUUGUUAGACGAAAAGACCCCGUUGAGCUUUACUGGAGCACUUACAUGGCCCCGGCCUUCCCAUGCCUGGGAAUCGGCCGAAUUUAAAUGGGCGGCUUAGAUUAUGUGGCAGCCCCCCGCUGGGGCAAAUGAAACACCACUCCCCCAUGUCAAAGGGGCUAACCCCCCCCCUUGGGGGGACAGUGUAAGUAGGACAGUUUGGUUGGGGCGACCGCCUUUUAAAAAGUAACGAAGGUGCGCUUAAGGUGCGCAAUUAAUGACUGAAGCCUGACUGCGAGGGGGACACCCCGAGCAGACACCCCAAAGCCCGCCCGAAAGGCGGCGGUGGGGUGGGCCAUAGUGACCCGUUAAUUUAGAGUGGAAUAGUUAACGAUCAACGAAUAAAAGUUACCACGGGGAUAACAGCGUAAUAUCGUUAGAGAGUUCACAUCGACGACGAUGUUUGCGACCUCGAUGUUGAAUUGCGGCAUCCUGGGGUGCAGCCGCUCCCAAGGGUU